RNAcentral lists this small RNA (27 nucleotides) under Bombyx mori (domestic silkworm). Its description in RNAcentral is "ovarian small RNA-16125". Lineage: Eukaryota; Metazoa; Arthropoda; Insecta; Lepidoptera; Bombycidae. The record is from RNAcentral.
GAUCGGUCGCUUGCAGCCUGCAUCUAU